RNAcentral lists this ribosomal RNA (515 nucleotides) under uncultured archaeon. RNAcentral's name for it is "bacterial SSU rRNA". It matches the Rfam family "Archaeal small subunit ribosomal RNA", at positions 341 to 856 of the family's 1478-position model. The record is from RNAcentral.
GAGAGAAUUUUCCAAUGCACGCAAGUGUGAGAAAGGAAUCGAAAGUGCUUUAACUUUUAGUUAGAGCUUUUCUCCUCUGUAAAAAUGAGGAGGAAUAAGGACUGGGCAAGACUGGUGCCAGCCGCCGCGGUAAUCCCAGCAGUUCGAGUGGUGGCCACAUUUAUUAGGUCUAAAAGAAUCGUAGCUUGCGAAGAAAGUUUCCUGUCAAAUCUUGUCUCUUAAGGGCAAGGCGCGCAGGAAAUACUACUUUGCUAGAGACCGGGAGACGUAAAGAGAACGGUAGGGGUAGCGGUAAAAUGUUUUAAUCCUUACCGGACUAACAAUGGCGAAGGCACUUUACGAGAACGGAUCUGACAGUGAGGAUUGAAGGCCAGGGGCGCAAACGGGAUUAGAUACCCCGGUAGUCCUGGCAGUAAACUCUACUUACUAAACAUUAUAGUCUCCUCGAGAGACUGUGGUGCUGAAGCGAAGGCGGAAGUAAGUUACCUGGGGAGUAUAGCCGCAAGGCCGAAACU